Molecule: ribosomal RNA, 1083 nt
Filed under: Microbacterium lacticum
Lineage: Bacteria; Bacillati; Actinomycetota; Actinomycetes; Micrococcales; Microbacteriaceae
Description: bacterial SSU rRNA
Rfam family: Bacterial small subunit ribosomal RNA
Source: RNAcentral
GCAGCAGUGGGGAAUAUUGCACAAUGGGCGAAAGCCUGAUGCAGCAACGCCGCGUGAGGGACGACGGCCNUCGGGUUGUAAACCUCUUUUAGCAGGGAAGAAGCGAAAGUGACGGUACCUGCAGAAAAAGCGCCGGCUAACUACGUGCCAGCAGCCGCGGUAAUACGUAGGGCGCAAGCGUUAUCCGGAAUUAUUGGGCGUAAAGAGCUCGUAGGCGGUUUGUCGCGUCUGCUGUGAAACCCCGAGGCUCAACCUCGGGCCUGCAGUGGGUACGGGCAGACUAGAGUGCGGUAGAGGAGAUUGGAAUUCCUGGUGUAGCGGUGGAAUGCGCAGAUAUCAGGAGGAACACCGAUGGCGAAGGCAGAUCUCUGGGCCGUAACUGACGCUGAGGAGCGAAAGGGUGGGGAGCAAACAGGCUUAGAUACCCUGGUAGUCCACCCCGUAAACGUUGGGAACUAGUUGUGGGGUCCAUUCCACGGAUUCCGUGACGCAGCUAACGCAUUAAGUUCCCCGCCUGGGGAGUACGGCCGCAAGGCUAAAACUCAAAGGAAUUGACGGGGACCCGCACAAGCGGCGGAGCAUGCGGAUUAAUUCGAUGCAACGCGAAGAACCUUACCAAGGCUUGACAUAUACGAGAACGGGCCAGAAAUGGUCAACUCUUUGGACACUCGUAAACAGGUGGUGCAUGGUUGUCGUCAGCUCGUGUCGUGAGAUGUUGGGUUAAGUCCCGCAACGAGCGCAACCCUCGUUCUAUGUUGCCAGCACGUAAUGGUGGGAACUCAUGGAAUACUGCCGGGGUCAACUCGGAGGAAGGUGAGGAUGACGUCAAAUCAUCAUGCCCCUUAUGUCUUGGGCUUCACGCAUGCUACAAUGGCCGGUACAAUGGGCUGCAAUACCGCAAGGUGGAGCGAAUCCCAAAAAGCCGGUCCCAGUUCGGAUUGAGGUCUGCAACUCGACCUCAUGAAGUCGGAGUCGCUAGUAAUCGCAGAUCAGCAACGCUGCGGUGAAUACGUUCCCGGGUCUUGUACACACCGCCCGUCAAGUCAUGAAAGUCGGUAACACCUGAAGCCGGUGGCCCAACCC